Molecule: non-coding RNA, 850 nt
Filed under: Sinohyriopsis cumingii
Lineage: Eukaryota; Metazoa; Mollusca; Bivalvia; Unionida; Unionidae
Source: RNAcentral
AAAACACUUCGCUCUGAUGCCAGAUUAACUAUAACCUUUAAACUUCAUAUGGUAACCUACAUUUUUUGUGGAAAUAUUCUUCACUAGGAAAACGUUAAACACUUUAACCUCCUACGCCCAAGAAAAGACGGGUUACACCCAAAGCACUUGCCCACAACACCAAUGAACUAUUUUGUGCUCAAAGCUAGAAAACUAGGCCACAGAAAUGGUUAAAUAGAGUGACUAAAUAGGGUGCCAGCAGUCGCGGUUACACCCAACCUCAAAGUUAAUCCCUCCAAACUAAAGGAAGACAAUCCGCCAACUGACUUCAAUCUUGUAAGCAAAAGUGAAAUUUGCACUUACAUAAGUACACCCAAAAAAGUCUCCAUCUUGUCUUCCAACAAACCACAGCACAAAACAGGGAUUAGAUACCCCACUAUUGUGUGGCACAACACUGAAAAGACUAAAAACGAAAGUUCCAAACUUAAAGAGCGUGGCGGUGUUCUACACCUUAUUAGGGGAUCCUGUAGCUUAAUUCGAUAAUCCACGAACACCAAAGCUUUAUUAGCACACAGCUUAUGUAUGGCCGUUUUAUGUCUGCAUAUCAAUAUACUAAUAGGAGACAACAAAAGUUUAACACACUUAAUAUCACAGGUGACAUAUAGCCCAUAUAAAGCAGCCCAUGGGAUACAAAUAAACACAAUUAACCUAAACAAAAUGACAACUUUCAUCAAGGGAGGACUUAAAAGUAAGGUUGCAACAUUAAUCCAACCUGAACGAGAUCUAGAACGCGUACAAAUCGCCCGUCACUCCCGCCCUAAAUCGGGAUAAGUCGUAACACAGUAGGGGUAACGGAAGUUGUCCCUAUACA